AUUGAACGCUGGCGGCAGGCCUAACACAUGCAAGUCGAACGAGUGGCGGACGGGGGAGUAAUGUCUGGGAAACUGCCUGAUGGAGGGGGAUAACUACUGGAAACGGUAGCUAAUACCGCAUACCAUUGGAUGUGCCCAGAUGGGAUUAGCUAGUAGGUGGGGUAAAGGCUCACCUAGGCGACGAUCCCUAGCUGGUCUGAGAGGAUGACCAGCCAAACUGGAACUGAAAAAGGGUCCAGAAUCAUACGGGAGGCAGCAGGGGGGAAUAUUGCACAAGGGGCGCAAGCCUGAUGCAGCCAUGCAGCGUGUAUGAAGAAGGCCUUCGGGUUGUAAAGUACUUUCAGCGGGGAGGCGUUACCCGCAGAAGAAGCACCGGCUAACUCCGUGCCAGCAGCCGCGGUAAUAC
This 406-nucleotide ribosomal RNA is filed under the name uncultured bacterium. Its description in RNAcentral is "partial 16S ribosomal RNA". It matches the Rfam family "Bacterial small subunit ribosomal RNA", at positions 29 to 526 of the family's 1533-position model. The record is from RNAcentral.